Non-coding RNA from Arachis ipaensis, 649 nucleotides. NCBI's taxonomy places the organism in Eukaryota, Viridiplantae, Streptophyta, Magnoliopsida, Fabales, Fabaceae. The record is from RefSeq and is a predicted model, not a curated record.
AUUGAUGCCACCUGCUAUGUUUCUACUUUUCUAUUCUGGUAUUACCAUGUCAUUAUUGUCAUAAGAAUUUAGACCUAUAAUAUUAUGUGGUUUCAGGUCCUUGGCACACCCACUCGAGAAAAAGUCCACUGCAUGAAUCCAAACUACAACAACUUCAGGUUUCCACAGAUAAAAGCACACCCAUGGCACAAGCUAGAAGCUUGUGCACACCCAUUCUUUGAUGAACUCCGUGAACCCAAUGCUCGCUUGCCAAAUGGUCGUCCAUUUCCACCACUAUUCAACUUUAAACAAGAGGUGACUGUGCUGGAGCUUCAAAUUAGAAAAGACUCAAAAGAAGUUAGAAAAGUUGGAACGGGAGCUGAAAUAGAAGAGAUGGAAUGAGGCUUAUGUUAGCUAUUAUGAGAAGGUUAGAGAGUCAAGUAGUUCUAGUGUAGUUCCACUACCACCGCCACCGCCGCCACCCUCAAUGUCUUCGGAUGAAGACUAUGAUGAUGAUGACGAUGAAGAUGACACUGAAGAUUAUAGCAGAUCGUUUUAGUAUGGUUGAACAAUAUACUAGGAAUUAUAGUUAAUGAUCAAUACAUUUUGUUUAUGUUUUGAAUUAUAUUGACUUGCUUAUUUAUAGUACUUUUCUUUUAGUUUGAUAAUA